UGGGUUGCCCGGGAUUCGAACCCGGAACUAGUCGGAGCCGAGUACUCUACCGUUGAGUUAGCAACCCGAAGA
RNAcentral lists this transfer RNA (72 nucleotides) under Chionanthus rupicola. Its description in RNAcentral is "tRNA-Lys". Lineage: Eukaryota; Viridiplantae; Streptophyta; Magnoliopsida; Lamiales; Oleaceae. The record is from RNAcentral.